Molecule: ribosomal RNA, 814 nt
Filed under: Occidozyga sp. RMBR 819
Lineage: Eukaryota; Metazoa; Chordata; Amphibia; Anura; Dicroglossidae
Description: partial large subunit ribosomal RNA
Rfam family: Bacterial large subunit ribosomal RNA
Source: RNAcentral
CCCCCCAACUUCCUCAAACCCACCACCCGUACUGAAUGAUUUCAUAAAUUAUGAAAACCACCAUGCUAGAACUAGUAACAAGAAAUUGAAUUUCUCCAAAGUGUAAACAUAAGACAAAAUGGACAACCCACUGGCACUUAACGACACUGAACUCACUAUAGUAACUCACCUAGAAAACCCUAUACCCUACAACCUACAUCGUUACCCUUACACAAGAACACUACUGGAAAGAUUAAAAGGAAGAGAAGGAACUCGGCAAACUCUAGCCCCGCCUGUUUACCAAAAACAUCGCCUCUUGCUUAAACAUAGGAGGUCCAGCCUGCCCAGUGAUCUGAUUCAACGGCCGCGUGAUUUAAGCGCGCAAAGGUAGCAUAAUCACUUGUUCUUUAAAUGGGGACUUGUAUCAACGGCACCACGAGGGCUACACUGUCUCCUUUCCCCAAUCAGUGAAACUAAUCUCCUUGUGAAAAAGCAAGGAUAUGCUUAUAAGACGAGAAGACCCCACGGAGCUUAAAACACAACAGCACCUGGGAUAACACACACCUAUUCAUUCAUCAAGCCCUGUCUGUCAGUUUUAGGUUGGGGCGACCGCGGAGUAAAAACCCCCCUCCACGACGAAAGAGGCUAUACUCUAAUCUAAGAGACACAUCUCCAAGAAUCAUCUACAUGACGUCCAGUGACCCGACUAUCGAUCAACGAACCAAGUUACCCUGGGGAUAACAGCGCAAUCCACUCUGAGAGCUCAUAUCGACAAGUGGGCUUACGACCUCGAUGUUGGAUCAGGGUAUCCCAGUGGUGCAGCCGCUACUAAAGG